GCAUUUAGAAACUUUUCAACCUUAAAUAUAUUUCUUUGAGGACAAAGUUACUAAAAUGUGAGCAUACGUUUAUAUUUAUAAACUAAGUAAAAUAGCAUUUGUUUAUCAUAAUGUUCAGUAGACAAUAACAAUUUCAAUUACUGUGUUUGCCCAUUGAUAGUAUUUGAAGUAUGGAUCAGUUAUCUAAAUAAUUUAUGAAAAAAUGUUGGUCUCUCAGAUUAUUAAAUGAAAUUGCACUUGGAUUACAGUGCAGCCAUUUAUACUUUUUGUCUUAUUUUGUUGUCUUUACAAUUGCAUGUUUUUUACAGAUCAGGAACUUCGUAUUUAUGAAUUUAAUAUCAGUAAAUUC
This 349-nucleotide long non-coding RNA is filed under the name Bos taurus (domestic cattle). RNAcentral's name for it is "long non-coding RNA NONBTAT010690". The record is from RNAcentral. Lineage: Eukaryota; Metazoa; Chordata; Mammalia; Artiodactyla; Bovidae.